Molecule: long non-coding RNA, 240 nt
Filed under: Carica papaya (papaya)
Lineage: Eukaryota; Viridiplantae; Streptophyta; Magnoliopsida; Brassicales; Caricaceae
Description: long non-coding RNA (CPAP_LNC004019)
Source: RNAcentral
AAUCAAUUUGUUCUUUCUUCCUCUUAGGUCACAGUCAACUUUUUUUUCCUCAUAUUAUAUUGUCUCUUCAUUUUCACCACAAAUUUUAAGCUUAAAACUAAUUUUUAGCAUCAUUCGUUUCCUAACAUUAUGUAUAAAUGGAUGUAUACAUACAUAUAAAAGAUGAAAUUUUCAAUUUAUAUUAAGUAACUGGGAUUGGCGGCAUAGAGAUGCAAUCAGAAUUCAAUGUGCACUAUUCCA